CACCGCGGUUAUACGAGAGGCCCAAGUAAACAGACAACGGCACAAAGGGUGGUUAGAGGAGUAACAAAGACUAAAGCAAAACCCUUUCAACGCUGUGAUACGCCACCGAAAACGUGAAACUCAAUUACGAAAGUAGCUUUAACAAUCCUGAACCCACGAAAGCUAGGGGA
RNAcentral lists this ribosomal RNA (170 nucleotides) under Pseudorhombus malayanus (Malayan flounder). Its description in RNAcentral is "partial 12S rRNA". Lineage: Eukaryota; Metazoa; Chordata; Actinopteri; Pleuronectiformes; Paralichthyidae. The record is from RNAcentral. RNAcentral also lists the same sequence under 2 other names.